UCAGAAAAUUAUUGGAAAAUGACAAUUGAAGAUAUCAUAUUCAAAUUCGAUAGAUUACACACCUAAACUAAACUAAAGUCCGAAUAACUUUAUUUCUCGGUCUUGAUUUUGAAAUUUGUAAUCCAUCCAAUGUCUAGUUCGAUUCAAUAGUUGGUUCAAUCUAAGGAUCAGUAUCGCUUAUUCCUCCGAUUCGCCCUUUGGAGUACUUUGAUUUCUAGGUCUUGAUACUCAAAGUUUGUAACCCUCCAAUGUCGAAUUCGAUUCAAUAGUUAGUUCAUUCUCAGGAUCAUGAACGCUUGCCUUGUUUUCUUGAUUCCGUACAGUCCACUGGCUUAGUUAUGUGUUAAGUUUCAUAGUUUGAGACAUUCUUUAAGAGAAUGGUGAUUUUGAUGUUGCUUGUAGGUGUUGAUGUGAGACUGUUAAAACUGACUUUGAAGGGUUAGAACCAUGUGACCCUCGAUCAUCAAAGCUUAUAGGGUAACAUUAUCCACUGCUACGUUCUCCGAUAGCUUGAAGCUCAAGACUUUACUUGUAGAGUAUACUCCUAGGGUGAAGCCCAAGACGGCUGCUGCUACUCGGAAGCCUGUUGGGCGUGGCUGAGGAGUGAGGACGCGGUCUUUAAGAUGUAUUUCUUGUGCAUAUACCAGCUACUGAAAAAUAUUAAGGGAUGUGCCGGAUGGCACGGGUAGGGAAAGGCGGAAGGCACACCGUCUCCCUGGGGAAAGGAGAAAGGCACACCGUAUCCCUGGGGAAAGGAGGAAGGC
Long non-coding RNA from Arabidopsis lyrata subsp. lyrata, 764 nucleotides. RefSeq lists it as uncharacterized. The record is from RefSeq and is a predicted model, not a curated record. The transcript has 3 exons. Lineage: Eukaryota; Viridiplantae; Streptophyta; Magnoliopsida; Brassicales; Brassicaceae.